AAAUAAGAUUACUGCGCAGUUUUCACUUAGCUCGAGUCUUGUACAGUGUUUUUGUUUUUGUUGUUUAUAAAGUAUGACUGGGUACGGAUUGGGUUCUGGGACUACCACUGGUGAUGGUGGCGGUGACGUGAGGGCUGGUGAAGAGGUUGGUGUGUGAUGCGGUGAAAGGGGUACCAACAUUGUAAACGUUAAGUAUAGAUGGUAUAGAGAGACAUAAAGCACCGCAUCUACGGUGAGGGCAGAGGGAGCGACAGCCCAGAGAAGGAUUAUAUUUUGAUUUGAUUGAGAUCGAGGGGAACUGGUGUUAGCACACAACGGAAGUUUCUGGAUUUUUCGAUUUGAAAUGUGGAACUUUAUUUCGAUUUUUGAAUUGAAGAAAAUGUACAUUUUUUCCGAUAUUCAGUAGUAUAAAAAUCCAACAGUCCGUUUUGUCAUACAAAAAAAAUAAAAUCUAGAAGAAAUUAUCCAAUUUUUAAAAAUUUAAGAAAUGCUGCUAAAAUUGGUAAAAAUUUGUUUUCGACCUAAAAUCUAUUUAACAAAACCAGAUUUUCAAACUUAACUGUUUUUGUUUAUAAAAAUUAUUGUUUUUAUUUAUUAAUUUUUAAGAAUAAUUCAACUAACAACUUUUUUACCUAACACGAAAACCUACAAACUUUAAAGCAAGGAAAAACGACAGACUCUUUUUUGUUUUUUUUAAGGGUGUGUAAUAAAAAAAAACUAAUUUUUAGAUAACAAAAAUAAAUCCAAUCAUAAAGCAGGAUUUUACUUUGUGUUACGCAAAUACAUAAAUAAAUGAUCAAAUCUGGAUGACAACAAAAAUAAAACAGGGAUAUUUUCUUGUAAAUUUAAAAGAGUCUUCGUUACGGAGUUGGUAUGAGUCUUUUAGUCGCGGAUUAUGUGGACUAUUAUACCGUCUUCAAUAUUCUUUAGUUCUAGAAUAGCUUUGGUUGUACAUUACACUAAAAAUUACUGCCUAGAGAAAGAUCCAUAUUCUGUUUUUAAAUUAAAAACAACAAUGAUAAACAUGAAUAUUUUGUUAGCAUAAAACUUCUUAUUUUUUUAAAAACCUACAUAUAUAUGUAAAUAAAUAGAGUUUUAAUCAAAAAACUUAUCAAUCAUGAAUUUGCUACCUCGAAUAUUAUACAAAAGAAAUGAUAAAAACCGUUCUUAUACUAUAAAGAAUGACGUUUCUAAAUUCAUAGAAAAAUAGAAUUUCACAAAAUACUACUUUAAAUUGUUAAAAUUGAUAUUCGACUCAAAUAUCUUAAGAACAAGGAACAUAAUUGUUGUGUUGGAGGUUUAUGUUAUAAAUUAGUUUUAACUUCGAAAACAUGAAGAUAUCAGCUUCUUUUGAAAUUAAAAAUACCAAAGCUGAAUUCUGAAUUUCAAAAGAAACGAUAAAAAUUAUUGAAACGCAUUUUAUAUUCCAAGUAGUUUGUUUUCAGUAUAUUUUAGUUGAUACAAAAAUGUAUUAUUCCAAACAUUUUUACACCUGAUAAGGAACAAACUUAUUAUUUUGUUGUACUGAUACAACUUUAAGUUGAUAAUGGGUAGACAUGGAUUGGAAACAAAAUAAAAUGCUUCAUAUAUAAAUUGUCGACUCUCCAUUUCUUACCGUUAUAUACAAAACUAAUGAAAGAUUAAAUGUGUUGUAUAAUGCUUUGAUAUACUUAAUGUAACGUCACAUUAAUUUACAAGCUUAAACAAACCAGUCUAAAAUUAGACCAUUCCUAAAGCACCUCAAAACAAAAUUAUAUUAAUAAACAUUUUUUAAAAUAGUUAUCUACCUAAACUUAGACAAGUUUUAUAAAUAUAAGUGUUUUGUUUUUGUGUGUUCAAUUUUGUAUGUAAUGUUUAUUAAUUGUCACCUAAAUAAGUACAAAUAAAUGAGUAGAAAAAAACGUGUGCUAUCAAAAUUUAUUGACCUAAAUACGAAAUAAAUUUAGGUAAGUGAGUAUACUGAUAGUAAGUAUCAAG
Eupeodes corollae is the source of this 1977-nucleotide long non-coding RNA. RefSeq lists it as uncharacterized. The transcript has 3 exons. NCBI's taxonomy places the organism in Eukaryota, Metazoa, Arthropoda, Insecta, Diptera, Syrphidae. The record is from RefSeq and is a predicted model, not a curated record.